Non-coding RNA from Mus caroli (Ryukyu mouse), 2709 nucleotides. The record is from RefSeq and is a predicted model, not a curated record. Lineage: Eukaryota; Metazoa; Chordata; Mammalia; Rodentia; Muridae.
UGUCACAUGUCACAGAAGACUUUCCCCAUAGAAGGGGGGGAAAAAACCCCAAACGUAAAUAAGCUGAGCAGCGACGUCACCGCCGGUGUCUGUCUCCAGUUUCGGCUUUGUGGCUGUUCUGGUUUUGUGACCUCGGUGGAGAUCCGGCAGGAGGAGACAGACCCGUAAAAACAAGGUUAAAGCCGAGCCACAGUGAGGCGGCCACAGGAUGACCCGCUAGACUUUGGAACCUGUUUAUGAUUACGUUGGAAAUUAAAGCAAGCCUCCGCCGCGCCCCCUCCGAGGAGCGCGUUUAAAACCCCGAGUCAAAAAGAAGCUUGAGUGGUUUUUCCAAAAUGAACCAACUGGAGGAAGAGUCACAGUAAGCAGGCAGGAAUCUUCAAAUGACCCUCCCCCUUCCCUAAAUCCUGUGGUUUGCAGAGUGCUCCCUAAGAGAGCACACGCGGGCAUCAGCGCAGGAGGCGGUUGCACGACAGUGUCCAGGGAGAACCCAACGGCUGGCAAGCCCCUCUGCAAACCGCCCGGGAGUAGCGCUUUCCGGGACCCGGCAGGGGAUGACUCAGCUGCUGCGCCCCGGUGCGGGACUCAUGUGGUGCGGGAGGGGGCCGCGGAGGGCCUGGCCGCCGGUUGGAGGGCCGCCUCGCUCUGGGUUUUUGGUGUUUGUGGCUGGGAUUGGUGGCUCACAUCCGCCGGGGACUCGGGAGAGGAGGGAGGACAGACUCCGGGAGGAGGAGCUGGACCGAGUGAGUGGCAGGAGCUGGGUCCGGACCCAGCCGUGACUGCCUUGUCAUUUUGUUUGCUAACUUAGACAGCGGCUUCAGGGUCCACCCCACGGAACACGCCUCGGGUCCGCUAAGCCCAACCCACGGCGGCUCGAGGCCAGAGCGUUCUUUCCCGGCGGUUAUCCGCGGCCACGCGGUGGCUCUCAUUAUGUACACAAAGGUAGCUUUUCUUUUCUCCCAAGUCAGCCUGGCUAAUGAAUGCGAUUCUCCGGCCGCACUGAUGGAAACCGGGUUUACAAGGGUGGAUGUGGAGAACACUUCCUUAUGGAGAUGACUGGAGGAGACCGAAGGGGCAAACUGGUCCGUCAGGGAAACUGCCUUCUUUAACAUUAGAGUUAAAAGGAGUGACUCUAGUCUGGUUUGGUCUGGAGGGCCUGGUUAUCUGUGAAGGUGAGGACUCCGGCCUGGAGAACUAAUUACUCUGAACCCUCAGGCUCUGAGGACUUCUUCGGAAUACCCCAGGAGGCAAAGAUCAACAAGACCACACCUCUACCUGGACUCUAAGUACACCCAUCUCCUGUCCCAUCCUGACUCCACCUCUUUCUUCCUCUAUUUAAACCUGAAGCCCAAGCCAGUGCCUUAAAGCAAGUGGGUGACAUGAAAUUCGCCCCUUCCCUCUGAUUUCCACCGUUCCUUGCUGACAGGCCAUGGUGGAGGGGACAUUGGCUGAGCCCAGUUUGUUGGGGCUGCAGGACCCCAAGUACUGUUACCCUAAAACUCUGGGAACAGUAUGUUGGGUCCUAGUACAGGAAGGAGGUCAUUCCAAACAAUGAGCGGCCAUACUUGUUUAAGAGUAGGCAUUAAGACCAGAGGUAGAGUCAAACCUGGAAGCCCUUGGCAAGCUAGGCUCAGCUGUCUUUCCUCAGCCAAAAGACAAAACAGCAGCAAGAGAGGGAAUUAUUUUAUUUGAUGAUGUUAGGUUGGGAAGAAAACAAAGAGGCACAGUAAGCACCCCUCUUACUCAAGCUCAUUUUUGGGGUCCUGACAUAAGGUUCAGGCUGAAACAGAGGGUAAGAAGUGUGUAUUGCUUAACAGCACAGGUCAAGGGUGGUCCUGCCCAUCACUAACAAUCACUGUCUUCUGCUUCCAAGGUCUGUUCAAGGUGUCCCUAUGACUGACUGAAGUCUCAUGUCAUGAAGAUGACACCUUCUCAUGAAGGUGUCAGUCCCAUGGCUGACACCCAGGCACUACUAGCUCAUGACAUCUAGCCUUGAGCCUCCUGGGCAAACUCCAGUUCCCUGGGGUCCAUUAUCUCAGCAGAUCACAGAGGGAGGGGCACGAGUCUCCCUUCAGAACAUCCUAUGGUGGAUAAAAUUGCAGUUUAUUGGUGAUCAACCUAGCCUCCAACCCCUCCUUCAGGAUUGAGGAAGUUUAACCGAAACCUUCAUUGCUCCAAAUUGUGCCCCAGUUGGCUCCGGGCAGAUGCCCAUCCAAUGGAGGCUAUCUGGGAGUUCCCAAUCAGCAUUGAAGGACAGACAUUCAUCCAAUCAUUAGCAUGAAAAAAAAUGCUUAUCCUUUGGAGAGUUCAAGGUUUUUGUUUGUUUGGUUUGUUUUUGUAGUUGUACGUCGGGAAAUGAAGGCCAAACAUUCAUUUGACAAUGUCACUGAAGAGAAAUCUGGCUCACAGAUGUAGAAAUAAGAAUAACACCCCCUCCCCCUUACUGUUGAUCCUAUUUCCCGACUCAGAUUCUUUUAAGGCCUGGGCUUCCAGUCUCCAUGCAGUAAAGAUUUACUGCAUUGUUAUGCACUGCUGAUAUUACAACUACUUAGGAUAAAAUGAAUGGGGAGUGGGUGUGGCGCAAAGGCUUAGCUGUUAACAGACCUAGUUACCCUUAGGCAGGAUUCACAACUCCCUGCAAUUUCAGCAGCAGGGGACUUGGACGCCCUCUUCUGGCCUCCAUUGGCACUAUGUGCGCGUGUAUGUAUA